This 66-nucleotide transfer RNA is filed under the name bovine gut metagenome. It matches the Rfam family "tRNA". Rfam says of the family: Transfer RNA (tRNA) molecules are approximately 80 nucleotides in length. Their secondary structure includes four short double-helical elements and three loops (D, anti-codon, and T loops). The record is from RNAcentral.
CUCGUAGCUCAGUCGGUAGAGCAUUUGACUUUUAAUCAAAGGGUCGUGGGUUCAAAUCCCGCCGGG